AUACUUACUUGGCAGGCCGGAUACCAUGAUCACAAAGGUGGUUUUCCCAGGGCGAGGUUUAUUCACUGCACCCUUGCAAUUUCCCCAAAUGUGGAAAACUUGACUGCAUAAUUUGUGGAUUUGGGGACUGCAUAUGCGUUCUCUU
This 145-nucleotide small nuclear RNA is filed under the name Sorex araneus (European shrew). RNAcentral describes it as "U1 spliceosomal RNA (ENSSARG00000015073.1)". It matches the Rfam family "U1 spliceosomal RNA". Rfam says of the family: U1 is a small nuclear RNA (snRNA) component of the spliceosome (involved in pre-mRNA splicing). The record is from RNAcentral. Lineage: Eukaryota; Metazoa; Chordata; Mammalia; Eulipotyphla; Soricidae.